CAUGGACAGUCUAGAGCAGGAGACACCUGACUGACUCUCACUUUUACAAGAGUUCAUGAGAAUUCAACCCCAUCCAGACUUCAGUUUCAGGAGCAGAGAAAGCCUUUUGUGUGAACCUGGAAGAGGCAGGGCAGAUGGAAGGGACUGGAUGUAAAAGGGCUUAGAACUGAAGAGGAAGAAGAGCUGGCACCUGGGAACUACCAGGCACUUAGAGAAGGUAGAGACAGUAUUUAAAGUUCCAAAGGGGAAAGCCUCCACCUUCACCUGCCAGGAUACGGGUGCCAGAACCACCGGUGGGUGGCCUGUCA
Molecule: long non-coding RNA, 308 nt
Organism: Bos taurus (domestic cattle)
Lineage: Eukaryota; Metazoa; Chordata; Mammalia; Artiodactyla; Bovidae
Source: Ensembl